GGUACAGAGUCCUCCCGGGGAAAUGGGGGCUGUGCUCUGCGGUCAGCAGUCCCCUGCUCUAACAAGUGUAAUUGAAGGGAUUUACUCCAUUAUCCAAUUUGAUUACAGGCGAGCUGCUGGGUAAACAGGAAAAGGGGAGGCCUGGGUGAAGCCGUGCGGCUCGAGUGGCUCUUUGGAGCUGAUCUUCAUAACCUUGUCGGUGUCUGUGCACUUGGCAGAGCCUCUCAGGCACGUCCUUUGAAGGUCUUUGCUCGCAGCAAGUGGUUCCUGUGGGCAGCUCUGACACAGGGAGAAAGAAGAAAUUGGUUUUGGAAGCCUCUGUCAGUAGAAAGGCCACAUCGAUCUCUGAACCUCCUGUUCCACUGCCAACAGAGGCUCAAGGACUCAGAGUGGAUGUAACCCAUUGCUGUCCAUCCUGAUGGAAGACCUGCCACGCUCCAGGAUGCUUCCAGGUACCGUGUCAUUAGCUACAAAUUAAGCUUUGCAAUGCUGCUGGCAGCAUGGAUCCCAUCC
Molecule: long non-coding RNA, 513 nt
Filed under: Coturnix japonica (Japanese quail)
Lineage: Eukaryota; Metazoa; Chordata; Aves; Galliformes; Phasianidae
Description: lncRNA (ENSCJPG00005017110.1)
Source: RNAcentral